RNAcentral lists this non-coding RNA (26 nucleotides) under Mus musculus (house mouse). The record is from RNAcentral. Lineage: Eukaryota; Metazoa; Chordata; Mammalia; Rodentia; Muridae.
GGUAAGUGUCGUACAUUUAGCACCCG